Hyaena hyaena (striped hyena) is the source of this 3867-nucleotide RNA transcript. It is a transcript of the gene named WD repeat domain 6, with no coding region annotated. NCBI's taxonomy places the organism in Eukaryota, Metazoa, Chordata, Mammalia, Carnivora, Hyaenidae. The record is from RefSeq and is a predicted model, not a curated record. The transcript has 8 exons.
AGGUUGUCUCGCGAUAGCUCAGCUCCCUUCUUGGCCAGGGGAGCCGCAGCAGCUCGAGGACCGACAUGGAGGCUCACGAGGACUACGUUUGGCCGCGGGCAACCUCGGAGCUCAUACUCCUCCCGGUCACGGGUCUGGAGUGCGUGGGGGAUCGGCUGUUGGCGGGUGAGGGCCCGGAUGUCCUGGUGUACAACCUCGAUUUUGGUGGCCAUCUGCGGAUGAUGAAGCGCGUGCAGAACCUGCUUGGCCACUAUCUUAUCCAUGGGUUCCGGGUACGACCAGAACCAAAUGGAGACGUUGACUCGGAGGCUAUGGUGGCUGUGUUUGGGAGCAAGGGACUUCGAGUUGUGAAAGUUAGCUGGGGACAAGGCCGCUUUCGGGAGCUCUGGCGCUCUGGCCUGUGGAACAUGUCUGACUGGAUCUGGGAUGCACGUUGGCUUGAGGGGAACAUGGCCCUAGCCCUGGGCCAUAACUCAGUAGUGCUAUACGACCCUGUGGUAGGGUGCAUGCUGCAGGAGGUGCCCUGCACAGACAGGUGUACCCUCUCCUCAGCCUGUCUGAUUGGAGACACCUGGAAGGAGCUGACCAUAGUGGCGGGUGCUGUUUCCAAUCAGCUCCUUGUCUGGUACCCAGCAGCUGCUUUAAUAGAUAAUAAGCCUGUGGCCCCUGACCGACGGGUCAGUGGGCAUGUGGGUGUCAUCUUCAGCAUGUCGUACCUGGAAAGUAAGGGCUUGUUGGCCACAGCUUCAGAAGACCGAAGUGUCCGCAUUUGGAAGGUGGGUGACCUGCGGGUGCCUGGGGGUCGGGUACAGAAUAUUGGGCACUGCUUUGGGCACAGCGCCCGUGUAUGGCAGGUCAAGCUCCUAGAGAAUUACCUUAUCAGUGCUGGAGAGGACUGUGUCUGCUUGGUAUGGAGCCACGAAGGUGAGAUCCUCCAGGCCUUUCGGGGCCACCAGGGUCGUGGCAUCCGGGCUCUAGCUGCCCAUGAGAGGCAAGCCUGGGUGGUCACUGGGGGCGAUGACUCAGGCAUCCGGCUGUGGCACCUUGUAGGGCGUGGGUACCCGGGUUCGGGGGUCUCAGCUCUCUGCUUCAAGUCCCGUAGCAGACCAGGCACCCUCAAGGCUGUGACGCUGGCUGGCUCAUGGCGACUACUGACAGUGACUGAUACAGGGGUCCUGUAUCUCUAUGACUUUGAGGUCAAGUGCUGGGAGCAGCUGCUGGAGGAUAAGCGCUUCCAGUCCUACUGCCUCCUGGAGGCAGCCCCUGGUCCUGAGGGCUUCGGACUGUGUGCCAUGGCCAAUGGGGAGGGUCGUGUCAAGGUUGUUCCCAUCAACACUCCAACUGCAGCCGUGGACCUGACCCUGUUCCAUGGGAAAGUGCAUAGUCUGAGCUGGGCCCUGCGUGGCUAUGAGGAGCUCCUGUUGCUGGCAUCGGGCCCUGGUGGCGUGGUGGCGUGCCUGGAAAUCUCAGCUGCGCCUUCCGGCAAAGCCAUCUUUGUAAAGGAACGUUGCCGGUACCUGCUGCCUCCAAGCAAGCAGAGAUGGCACACAUGCAGUGCCUUCUUACCCCCUGGUGACUUCCUGGUAUGUGGGGACCGCCGGGGCUCUGUGUUGCUGUUCCCCUCCAGACCAGCUCUGCUCAAGGAUCUUGGGAUUGGGGGCAAGGCCGGAGCUAUCACUGGAGCACUUGAAGCAGGUAGUGGCAGUGGUGGGGAUGAAACUGAGUGGGGCCCUGUGUCCACCCUCCCUUCUCUGCAUGGGAAGCAGGGUGUGACCUCGGUCACCUGCCAUGGCGGCUACGUGUAUACCACAGGGCGUGAUGGCGCCUAUUACCAGCUCUUUGUGCGAGGUGGCCAACUCCAGCCAGUCCUGAGGCAGAAGUCCUGUCGAGGCAUGAACUGGGUGGCUGGGCUCCGGAUGAUGGCUGACGGGAGUAUGGUCAUCCUGGGUUUCCAUGCCAAUGAGUUUGUGGUGUGGAGUCCCCGGUCCCAUGAAAAGCUGCACAUCGUCAACUGUGGUGGAGGGCACCGCUCCUGGGCCUUCUCUGAUACCGAGGCGGCUAUGGCCUUUGCCUACCUCAAGGAUGGGGAUGUCAUGCUGUACCGGGCUCUGGGUGGCUGUACCAGGCCACACGUGAUUCUCCGGGAGAGCCUGCAUGGCCGUGAGAUCACUUGUGUAAAGCGUGUGGGCACCAUCACUCUGGGACCUGAAUUUGAAAUGCCCAGCUUCAUGCAGCCUGACCACUUGGAGCCCGGCAGCGAGGGGCCUGGCCUGAUUGACAUUGUCAUCACAUGCAGCGAGGACACCACUGUCUGUGUCCUGGCACUCCCCACAGCCACUGGCUCGGCUCACGCACUUACAGCGGUUUGUAAUCACAUAUCCUCGGUGCGUGCGCUGGCUGUGUGGGGCAUUGGUGCCCCAGGUGGCCCUCAGGAUCCUCGGCCAGGCCUGACCGCUCAUGUGGUCUCUGCGGGGGGCCGGGCUGAGAUGCAUUGCUUCAGCAUCAUGGUCACCCCAGACCCCAGCACCCCAAGCCGCCUCGCCUGCCACGUCAUGCACCUUUCGUCGCACCGGCUAGAUGAGUACUGGGACCGGCAGCGCAAUCGGCACCGGAUGAUCAAGGUGGAUCCAGAGACCAGGUAUAUGUCCCUAGCUAUGUGUGAGUUUGACAAGCCUGGCCUUGGGCCCCUUGUGGCUGCAGCUUGCAGUGAUGGAGCAGUGAGGCUCUUUCUUUUGCAGGACUCAGGGCGGCGGCUGCAGCUCCUGGCUGAAACCUUCCACCACAAGCGGUGUGUCCUUAAGGUCCACUCCUUUACACAUGAGGCACCCCACCAGCGGCGGAGGUUGUUCCUGUGCAGUGCAGCCACUGAUGGCAAUCUGGCCUUCUGGGAUCUCACUACCGUGCUGGACCACGGUUCCACUGCCCUGGAGCCUCCAACAGACCCUGGACUUCCCUACCGACUGGGCACUCCCUGCCUGACCCUCCAGGCUCAUAGCUGUGGCGUCAACAGCCUGCACACCUUGCCCACACGUGAGGGCCACCUUGUGGCCAGUGGCAGUGAGGAUGGCUCCCUCCAUGUCUUUGUGCUGGCUGUCGAGGCACCAGAGCUGGAAGAGGCUGUGGGGGGUGCUGAGUUGGUGCCCCAGUUGCAUGUGCUAGAGGAAUACUCUGUCCCCUGUGCACAUGCUGCCCAUGUGACAGGCCUCAAGAUCCUAAGUCCAAGCCUUAUGGUCUCGGCCUCCAUUGACCAACGGCUGACCUUCUGGCGUCUGGGGCAUGGUGAACCCACCUUCAUGAACAGUACCGUGUACCAUGUCCCAGAUGUGGCUGACAUGGACUGCUGGCCUGUGAGCCCUGAGUUUGGCCACCGCUGUGCUCUUGGGGGCCAGGGGCUUGAGGUUUACAACUGGUAUGAUUGAAGUGUCCCGUGGUGGCCGGCAUGCUGGGCAUGUGGCCUGCUCGCAGACAGUGUGGAACAGGAGCAACUGUCUGUGCCCAUCCCCAGUGUGCCUUGAGGGGAGGAGGCGGCAGCCGUGGGUUCCUGAAGUCAGAGCAGGAGCUGGAGGUAAUGACUUUGUAAACAUUCCUAGGUAGUGGGGGUCUCUGUGGCCUUAGAUAUGGUUCAGUGGAGGGAGGCCCAGCGUGGCUAGGCCAGUGUGAAGCACUUCACGCACGGCCUGCAGAAGCUGGAGACGGGCAAACAUUUGACCAAACAGGAUGUGUAUGCGGUUAUAGUAGGAGCUGAAAUCCAUGCUGAGCUGCACCAGGAACUUGCACAUCUAGAGACAGAGACUGAGUCACUGGCUGAUCUUUCUGAUCUUGUGCCCAACCCCAAAUAAAGCAUUGAGUGUGUGGUGUCUGUCCCGA